UACGUAGGGUGCAGGCGUUAAUCGGAAUUACUGGGCGUAAAGCGUGCGCAGGCGGUUUGCUAAGACAGGUGUGAAAUCCCCGGGCUUAACCUGGGAACUGCGUUUGAAACUGAAAGGCUAGAGUGUGGCAGAGGGGGGUGGAAUUCCACGUGUAGCAGUGAAAUGCGUAGAGAUGUGGAAGAACACCGAUGGCGAAGGCAGCCCCCUGGGCUAACACUGACGCUCAUGCACGAAAGCGUGGGGAGCAAACAGG
This 253-nucleotide ribosomal RNA is filed under the name uncultured bacterium. RNAcentral's name for it is "partial 16S ribosomal RNA". It matches the Rfam family "Bacterial small subunit ribosomal RNA", at positions 524 to 776 of the family's 1533-position model. The record is from RNAcentral.